UUUUUUUUUUGGUUCAUAAGUGUGAUGAUUGGGUAUUCACACAUUGUGGGACAUGUCCCUCCCACGGACAUUGUUACAAUAUUAGCAAUUGCAUAUGAGAAA
This is a small nucleolar RNA of Mus pahari (shrew mouse), 102 nucleotides long. RefSeq annotates it as small nucleolar RNA U13. The transcript has a single exon. The record is from RefSeq and is a predicted model, not a curated record. Lineage: Eukaryota; Metazoa; Chordata; Mammalia; Rodentia; Muridae.